Molecule: long non-coding RNA, 1830 nt
Filed under: Monodelphis domestica (gray short-tailed opossum)
Lineage: Eukaryota; Metazoa; Chordata; Mammalia; Didelphimorphia; Didelphidae
Description: lncRNA (ENSMODG00000044730.1)
Source: RNAcentral
UAAUUCUAACCUUUUCUUCUUUGGCUCUACCUUUUAGUCCAGUGAUUUACUUUGAAUCAGUCCCCCUUUUCCCCUCCCUUGAUGUUUCCCUUUUUAGUCCCUCCCUUUUUCUUCCCUUCCCCUCCCCCCUCUCUUUCGCUCCCUUUUUGUUUUCCCUCUCCCCCUUCCUCCCUUGGUUUUCCCUUCUCCCUACCCUUGUUGGGUAAGAUAGAAUUCAAGAUCCCAAUGGAUCUGGAUGUUUUUCCCUCUCAGAGUUGAUUUCCCUGAGAUUAAGGUUUAAGUAAAAAACCCUCUCUUCCUCUCCUUCUUAUAGGAGUUUUCUUCCCCUCCCCUUCCCAUGUGAAUCUUUGAGUGAGAAAGAUUAUUCUAUUUGGUCUUUCUUUACCCCCUAUUUAUACAUUACAUUUUCCCCACAUGUUAGUAUACAUAGAUUGAUAUAAAUGUAGUCCUUAUAGAGGAGAGUUUGAGUAAAAGAAGAAGAUAACAUUUUUCUCCUUUCCCCUUUCCUUAAUAUUUACCUUUUCAGGUAUUCUUUGCUCUUUGUUUUUCGGUAUCAAACUUUCCACAGAGCUCUGGUCUUUUCUUUGCAAAAAGUUGGAAAUCUUCUAUUUUGUUGAAUGCCCAUACUUUCCCUUGGAAGUAUAUAGUCAGUUUUGCUGGAUAGCUGAUUCUUGGUUGAAGACCCAGCUCUCUUGCCUUUCUGAAGAUCAUGUUCCAUGCCUUACGAUCAUUCAGAGUAGAAAUUGCAAGGUCUUGUGUGACCCUGAUUGGCAUUCCUUUAUAUCUAAAUUGUCUUUUUCUGGCUUCCUGUAGGAUUUUUUCUUUUGUUUGAGAACUUUGGAAUUUGGCAAUUACUUUUCUGGGAGUUGUCUUUUGGGGGUUUAGUGUAGAAGGUGUUCUGUGAGCUCUGUCAGUGGCCCUUGUUCUAGAAUCUCUGGGCAAUUUUCUUUGAUUAUAUCUUGUAUCACGAUGUCAAGUUUGGUGUUUAUUUCUGGCUUUUCUGGAAGUCCAAUUAUUCUUAAAUUAUCUUGUAUCACAAUGUUGAGUUUGGUGUUUAUUUCUGGCUUUUCUGGAAGUCCAAUUAUUCUUAAAUUAUCUCUUCUCCCUCUAUUUUCCAGAUCUGUCAUCUUAUCGGUGAGAUAUUUUAUGUUCUCUUCUAAUUUCUUGGUAUUUUGGCUUUGCUUUAUUAAUUCUUGCUCUUUUACACGAUCGUUGUCUUCCAGUUGCCUGAUUCUGGCCUUUAAAGCCUGGCUUUCCUUUUCAGUUUGGUCACACCGGUUUUAUAGAUACGUGAAUUUCUUUUGCAUUAUUUCCCACUUUUCCUCCCAGAAGGCUUCCAUCUUUUUGGUCAUUUCUGAUUCAAAUUCUUCAUGGGUUUGUGGAGAGUUUCCAUUUCCUUUGGAAGGUUUCAGAGCAUUUUCUUGUGUAUCGUCUUCUAUCUCCUCUGUAUUUUGUAUUUUGGCUCCAUAGAAUAUGUCCAAAGUCGCCCCUUUCUUUUUAUUUUUCUUGGGAUUUUGGGGCUUCUGUGCUUCUGUGGAGUUUGCCAUCUCUGAAUGGGGAGGAUUAGCUUUUCUUAUCUCUGUCUGGUGUUCAGAGGCUUUAGUCCUGGGCAGAUUGUCCAUUCUAUGAGCUUUCCCUGAGUUGAACUGAGUAUGCCUUAAGGCAGUUACUUUCACUGGAACUGGAAUGGAAGGAUCCAGCCAGGGGGUUACAUUCGCCCCCGGCUCUCUCUGUUUCCCUGCUGUUUGGGUGCCCCCUCCACUGGGUCGGGUUGCUUUCCGGAAGUUGCCUUCAAAAUAGCUGGCCCUGAGGCUGUCUUGCCGCCCAGAG